AGCUAAUAGAUACCCAGGUAGUCCACGCCUAACGAUGUCUACUAGUUGUUGGUGGAGUAAAAUACCAUGAGUAAACGCAGCUAACGCGUGAAGUAGACCGCCUGGGGAGGUACGGUCGCAAGAAUUAAAACUACAAAGGAAUUGGCGGGGGCCCGGCACAAGCGGUGGAUUAUGUGGAUUAAUUCGAUGCAACGCGAAAACCUUACCUGGCCUUGACAUGCCACUAACGAAGCAGAGAUGCAUUAGGUGCCCGUAAGGGAAAGUGGACACAGGUGCUGCAUGGCUGUCGUCAGCUCGUGUCGUGAGAUGUUGGGUUAAGUCCCGCAACGAGCGCAACCCUUGCCAUUAAUUGCCAUCAUUUAGUUGGGCACUUUAAUGGGACUGCCGGUGACAAACCGGAGGAAGGUGGGGAUGACGUCAAGUCCUCAUGGCCCUUAUGGCCAGGGCUUCACACGUAAUACAAUGGUCGGUACAGAGAAUUGCCAACCCGCGAGGGGAGCUAAUCUCAGAAAGCCGAUCGUAGUCCGGAUUGUUCUCU
Molecule: ribosomal RNA, 538 nt
Filed under: uncultured bacterium
Lineage: Bacteria
Description: bacterial SSU rRNA
Rfam family: Bacterial small subunit ribosomal RNA
Source: RNAcentral